Molecule: long non-coding RNA, 2506 nt
Organism: Ooceraea biroi (clonal raider ant)
Lineage: Eukaryota; Metazoa; Arthropoda; Insecta; Hymenoptera; Formicidae
Source: RefSeq, a predicted model, not a curated record
CUCGAGCGUCUUGAUUAAAUCUCGCGAUGCGCCAAACUAUCCGCGCGAUUUACACGUUAUCACAUCCCACGCAUCUCGAAAGUUUCGCGGAAGCCACGCGUUUACAAGUCAUCUUGCGACAAUCGUAUCUCGCGUGCUCCACUUUACUCAUCCCCUUCCGUCAACGCAGCACGCGACACGUUUAUCGCUGGCACGCGUCCUCGCGUUACCGACAGAGCAAACUCGUUACUAGGUUAGAAUCCGCUGAAAAGGGAUGCUAGCGAGAGUGCACGGGGGUGGUGAGCGAUCGUCGCUUCUCCCCUCCGUCAGGCGCGCGCGACCCCUCUUCACCCUCGCCGUUUCUCGCAGUUUCCAGGAUCUCCGGAAAACUUUGCUGGAAAGCGGCAGGCGGCGGCUGCCGGGUGGGGAGUUGGCGAAUACAUACAGGGUAGGUAGACUACGAGUAGGGGAAACGGUUCCCUUUGCUCCGCCGAGCCACCCCCUAUCCACCAGCCACCCUUUUGUCUGUCUGUGUGUAAGCACGAACGCGGUAAAUAAAAAAGUUUUAUGUCACUCGCGAAUUCGUCGGCGCCGGCAAUGCGCAGGCACCAACAUGGCCGCGCACUUCGCGAAACUUUGUCGAAACACCUACAGAUUAUCAAACAACAGCUACACGAGAGCGUUUACUCACGGAGCGGCAGGGAUAGUUAGGAAGAAACUAAUAUUCUCGAACGAACCGAGCGAGCUGAAUACUAAACGCGCCUCUUUUGCUAAUUGCGAGUGUUCAUCUCAGAACAGAUGCAAUUUUUGGAAAACAGUAGUCAGGGCUGAAAUAUAUAACAAAUGAUCACCUGUCAACUGAAAACUGUUACUUGAUGUAUAUAAUCUAAUGCGUGACGAUACUGCGAGCCUUUGUCACGUAUUUAACUAAUCAAUACUUAAAAUCCGUAACAAUAAUCAUUUAUUCAGCUUCAUCAAUCAGUAAGAAAACUUUUGUUCGUGUAAUUAUAAAGCGUGCAAAUGUACAUAUUAAAUUGAAUUACAUAGAAACGAAACAGCUGACUGCACGGUCCGCUUAUAGGGCGUAACGUAUUCAAUUACUGAUCUGCUAUUAAAACUUGAGGUGAAGAUCUCGCGAGACAAUGGUACGAGCGCACGAAGCACGUGGCGGAUGUUUGGAAAAGUGUCUCUGUAUCGAAUCGAGUGGAAGGAAGACACGCGAGUGCCAUCACUCCGAUGGAAAUGAAAGAGGGAACGCUGCAUCUGCUCGACAUAGACCGACUCUCGAGUGCAUACGAUGGUUUCUUUCUGGUCGUCGGAAGCUGUCUACUCGUGGCACGGUAGCCGUACCUGGUUGCCUGCCGCCUGCCCUCGUGGGAGUCAGCUAAGGGAAAUCAAUAUCUCACUAGGGGUAGAGGAACACGAGGAAGAGAGAGACGAAGCAGCGAGAGUAGGAGCCGGCAAAGGUGGAGAAGGAAGAUGAGGAGGACGCGGCAAAGAAGCAAGAGAGGAGACGCGAACGCGGUGGGAGGGUGGUCGCGCGCUCGUCGACUUCGCUCCCUCGCGGCCCUCCGCGGCCGUAGUGCCACGCGUGAACUCGACCGCCGCGGUAGCACGCGUGAACCCGCGCCAGCGAUCGCCGACCAAUCACCCCGCGCUAUCGCGUGGCGGUUGUUUUUAUCGGUCGCGUACCGGUUCGGCAGCGGUCAGAAGUCACUGCGCCAACAAGAAUGCAGUCGGAGGUGGCACGCUUUGAUUUUAAUCGACUUGGAACAUGUUGUGUAAGAUAUCGUAAAAUACUUGAUAUAUAUAAAAUAUAUUACACAGUCAAUAUCAAUUUUAAAUAAUCUUGAAAUAUCAAUUAUAUUAAAUAAAUAAUAUCAAUUUUAAAUAAUCUUGAAAACUAUAUCUUCAGAUAUUUUGUGCAUAAUAGUAUCAUAUUCAUGAUAAUACUAUCUUGUAGAGGGGGUAAUAAAAGUUUUAUUAUGUCAUCAUAUCCUAAGUGCAUUUCUUGUACGCAUCAAACUUUCAUGCACAUUACAACGUGUUUAAAAUAGGCUAUUUAAAAAAUAUUUCUGGAAAUAUUAAAUUAUAAUAAUUCUUGCAAUAAUUUGCGUAGCAUGGUUAUCUCCACUGACAGUACCUGGUUAUCUACUCUGUGCGCUUACGGGUUGGAGUACCAUAAUUUAAAUGCUACGUUCGCGGUUUCAAAUUUAUGCAACCGCGAAUAUUGGCGUCAACUUCGAUUUCUCAGCUCUAGUUUCUAGAUAUGCAGGUAUCUCAACUCUGUCGGACAUUUGAGUAGAUUUACCAAGCAUUUAUUAUGCAUUAGUUCGUAAUCUUAAGUCCGAAAUUUCCAUCAAAUAAAUUAAUCCAAAAUAAUAUCGAUUGCAAUAAUUAAUAUAAGAACUUUAUGCGUUGUGGUUUCUGAAACAUAGAACCAAUAAUCAUAUGCACCAUGUAAGACCGUUUUAAUUAACUUUGAUGCAACUCCUCUAAUUCAAAAAUUAAUAGAUACAACGAGUAA